This 119-nucleotide ribosomal RNA is filed under the name Helianthus annuus (common sunflower). Lineage: Eukaryota; Viridiplantae; Streptophyta; Magnoliopsida; Asterales; Asteraceae. The record is from RNAcentral.
GGUUGCGAUCAUACCAGCACUAAUGCACCGGAUCCCAUCAGAACUCCGCAGUUAAGCGUGCUUGGGCCAGAGUAGUACUAGGAUGGGUGACCCCCUGGGAAGUCCUCGUGUUGCAACCC